Molecule: long non-coding RNA, 441 nt
Filed under: Numida meleagris (helmeted guineafowl)
Lineage: Eukaryota; Metazoa; Chordata; Aves; Galliformes; Numididae
Description: lncRNA (ENSNMEG00000007166.1)
Source: RNAcentral
AUUUAAUAUCUCUUAAAAACUAAACGUCUUUUCUGUUGUGCUCAGUCCAGUGGCACAGGAGCAUCCUGAAGAGAAGCAAUGGUGUGAGCAAGAGGAGGAUCACACUGUGUGUCUGGCACCCCUGUGUGCUGUGAAGAAUGAUGGAAUUAUCUCAGAAUGGUGUUUCAUUCUUCUGAAAACAAUAUAGUGAAGUGGCUGACCAAACCUGGUAUUACCGAUGUACUGAAGUGAAUCACUAGCUGAAGACACAGGCAUCAAUGGAGCCAACAGGAUGCUUGACAGUAAGAAGAAAUUUGGCAGCAUGAUCUUGUGAUGAAUGCUUUUGAACUGAGUUUGGCUUGGAAGCAUACCUGUCCUUGCUCCUUUACUUCCCAGAAUAGGUGUUCUUUGGUGACAGUCCCUUCCGUGGAAGGAAACAAAGAGUUUUGCUGUCCUGGUUGA